GUGAUUCUUUGUUCUAUAACUUUUUUUUUCCAGAAAAACAAAAUGGACAAGUAGGAUUGAAAACUCGAUUUUUUGUGUAGGUUACUCAGUUAAAGGAGUAUAGCAGAUGUUGACUAUGGUAUACUCCUCUUAAAUUCCUUCAUUAAGGAGGGCGGGAGAAAGACUUUUGUUUGGUGGAAAGAUGUUUGUGUAAUUAAAAUAUGGGAUGGUGGGGUUAGUAAUUGGUUUGAUGAAAAUUUGGUAAGAGUGUUGGGUAAUUAGAUUACUUCGAGAUUUUUGUGUGAUUCUUGUAGGGGGAUUGUUAUAUAUGACAUUUAGAAGGAUAGUUGGGUGUUUCAGUUGAAGGAAUGAGCAGAUUGGGUUGAGGUGUGGGUGAUGAUUGGUAUAAAUGAAUUAGAAGACUUCUUGUGUGGGAGGAAGAAAAAAUGGAGGGAUGUGAUUCUUUAUUGUAUAACAUUUUUUUCCGGAAAAACAAAGUGGACAAGUAGGAUUGGAAGCUCGAUUUUUGUGAAGGUUACUCAGUUAAAGGAGUAUACCAGAUAUUGACUCUGGUGGAGAACGUUGACAAUUGAGAAAUGUUUUAGAGAUUGUUUAUCUCUUUUUGCUUUGAGGAUUUUGAAUAAUAUGAUCUCUUCUAAGUAUAACCUUCUUCGUCCCAGAACUUUUUAUGUAGAUUCAACUUUUAUGUAUGAG
RNAcentral lists this long non-coding RNA (693 nucleotides) under Lathyrus oleraceus (garden pea). RNAcentral's name for it is "Pisum sativum (pea) long non-coding RNA (PSAT_LNC012896)". The record is from RNAcentral. Lineage: Eukaryota; Viridiplantae; Streptophyta; Magnoliopsida; Fabales; Fabaceae.